This 457-nucleotide ribosomal RNA is filed under the name uncultured bacterium. RNAcentral describes it as "SSU rRNA". It matches the Rfam family "Bacterial small subunit ribosomal RNA", at positions 1 to 457 of the family's 1533-position model. The record is from RNAcentral.
UUCGGCUUAGAGUUUGAUCCUUGGCUCAGAUUUGACCGCUGGCGGCAUGCUUUACACAUGCAAGUCGANCGNCAGCGGGGGCUUCGGCCUNCCGGCGAGUGGCGAACGGGUGAGUAAUGCAUCGGAACGUGCCCAGUCAUGGGGGAUAACUACGCGAAAGCGUAGCUAAUACCGCAUACGCCCUGAGGGGGAAAGCGGGGGAUCGCAAGACCUCGCGUGAUUGGAGCGGCCGAUGUCGGAUUAGCUAGUUGGUGGGGUACAGGCCUACCAAGGCGACGAUCCGUAGCGGGUCUGAGAGGAUGAUCCGCCACNCUGGGACUGAGACACGGCCCAGACUCCUACGGGAGGCAGCAGUGGGGAAUUUUGGACAAUGGGGGCAACCCUGAUCCAGCCAUGCCGCGUGAGUGAAGAAGGCCUUCCGGUUGUAAAGCUCUUUCAGACGGAAAGAAAUCGGGUG